GAAGGGAUGGCUGAGCGGUUGAAGGCGAUAGACUGUAAAUCUAUUAAUUAAUUAUUGUCGUAGGUUCAAAUCCUACUCUCUUUA
Molecule: transfer RNA, 84 nt
Filed under: Pterocladia lucida
Lineage: Eukaryota; Rhodophyta; Florideophyceae; Gelidiales; Pterocladiaceae
Description: tRNA-Tyr
Rfam family: tRNA
About the family: Transfer RNA (tRNA) molecules are approximately 80 nucleotides in length. Their secondary structure includes four short double-helical elements and three loops (D, anti-codon, and T loops). Further hydrogen bonds mediate the characteristic L-shaped molecular structure. tRNAs have two regions of fundamental functional importance: the anti-codon, which is responsible for specific mRNA codon recognition, and the 3' end, to which the tRNAs corresponding amino acid is attached (by aminoacyl-tRNA synthetases). tRNAs cope with the degeneracy of the genetic code in two manners: having more than one tRNA (with a specific anti-codon) for a particular amino acid; and 'wobble' base-pairing, i.e. permitting non-standard base-pairing at the 3rd anti-codon position.
Source: RNAcentral